CCCUAUGGGGUGCCCUGGAACGGCUCGAUGUCGCUCGGGUGGUUGUGCGACUCGACCUUGAAGGUCACGGCCCAGCCCUCGCCCACGUCGACGACGCCGGCGUUCUGGCCCAUGCCGACCAUGAGGCGCUCUUUCAUCUCGUCGGAGACCUUCUGGCCGAAGCGGCGCAGGUAGAUCUUCGACGACUUGUAGGAGCAGUGCUCCGACCACAUGACCGAGUACAUCGCCAACUCGCCCGACGUGGGCCGGCGCCCCCGGAUCGUCUUGAUCUGCUCGUACGCGUCAGGCUUGAGACCGAGCGCCGCGUAGGGCUGCUCUCUGUCGGGGGUCUCUACGGCGUGCUGGACGGUGUCUGCGACGGGGGUGCUCACGCGGCUGGACUCCAAGACUCGGGAUGCCGGCGGGGGAGC
This 410-nucleotide ribosomal RNA is filed under the name uncultured prokaryote. Its description in RNAcentral is "partial 16S ribosomal RNA". The record is from RNAcentral.